UGUACAAGUCAACACUAACAAUGGGUCUACU
RNAcentral lists this non-coding RNA (31 nucleotides) under Mus musculus (house mouse). Lineage: Eukaryota; Metazoa; Chordata; Mammalia; Rodentia; Muridae. The record is from RNAcentral.